AUGUGUUUCAGCAACCAAAAAGAACCUGUUCUGCUCUUACUAGCAUGCAGAUUUAGCUUAGGAGAAAGUAUUGAUCUAUUGCAGAUAUCUGCUUUGUGGCCGACCAGCUUCUUACAGACCUGGAAAGUGAAUGUAAAAAUCAGCAUUAGUUUCCUUGCAGGAAAAAAAAAAAAAAAAAAAAAAAAAGCAUGCAGUACCGGCACAAAACUAAUAUUUCCUCUUCUAAAACAAGAGAUGAUAGGCUUUGGACUACUCUGCAAAGACAAACUGAUUAAUAGAAGGCUAAGAACAGCAUUUGUUAUGAGCUAGCAGCAACACACAAACUCCCUGAAUAGAAUAGGAUGUCUUUUUUUAACACAGUAUCAUCUAAGAAGGAUACAUUAGUUAAGCAGACUGCUUAACCAUUCUACUAUAUCUUACUUUACAUUGUUUUUCUUGUGUAAACAAGUCCUGGAAAUCAUAGGGAGGAAAAGUUUAUAAAUCUUUUAUGGUGCAGGAUUUAUCAGAUGUUGGUCAUUAUGAAAGUUAGGAAACGGUAUUUGGCAAAUAACAAAUUGGAUACAGUUUGUUCAUCUUUACGUUCCUCAAGUUUGCCUUUUCCUGGAAACAUGAACAUAGGCCACUAGCCUUUCCCAGGUGCUACUGGCAUCUCUACCAAUACACUAUUUUCUCCAUUCAUUUUCAAAAAAAUUCAUUGCUAUAUAUUUACUCUUCAUAAAUUUUCUAGAAUUGUUUACUUGUAACUUAGCCUGGAUUCUACCAGUGCUACUUAAAAUAAUAUGAGCCUGUUAUGUAGUAUUGUGUUUCCUUUCUAAUUGUAAGAUGGGCUAAGCUUCUGAUUAGGCAAACAGAUUGCAAUCAAACUCCUAAUAUGGCUUACGAGGGUAAAGAAUAACAGGGCCUUUAGCGACCUCUGUUCAAUACAGGUUUACGGAUGGUUCCUUUAAAUGUAUGUUAACAUAGCUUUCCAAUUUACUAGAGAGAGGAAACUUACACUGACAAGGAGACGGUGUUAUGGGGGUGGAAAAUAUACAGGAUCCAAUCAGUGAAGCAGGAGGUGGGAGGAACAGCUGCUUCUUAAGUAAUGACAUAUAAGUAAUAUUAGUCCCACUGGCUUAAUUACAUUGUAACCUUAAACAACAAACAUCUGUUUUCCAUGUUUUCUUCCCAGAGGCCCUGACAUUUCCAACAUAACCAAACCUUCUUAUAUUUUUCAUGAUAAAAUAGUUUGAAACAGUAAAUAGUAGAAAUGUUAUUAGUAUGAAAUUACAUCAACAAAAAGAUCCAUGGGAAAAGCAUAUCACAGUUUUUUUCAGUUUCCUAGCCUCCUAUAUGCUACUUGCUUGUAUGUUACAAAAUGUACAAAUGAAGGAUGGGGAAAUAGUAGAUUAAGAUGAAGUAUAUCAGUAUUUUUUAAUUCCUGUCCUCAUGAAUGUUUGGAAAGAGCACGCACCUAUGAUAUAUGAGACAUGCUUAACUUUCAGAUCAAUUCAGUUUCCAAAAUAAAAAUAACUGGUGAAUCA
Molecule: long non-coding RNA, 1523 nt
Filed under: Anas platyrhynchos platyrhynchos (common mallard)
Lineage: Eukaryota; Metazoa; Chordata; Aves; Anseriformes; Anatidae
Description: lncRNA (ENSAPLG00000025741.1)
Source: RNAcentral